Molecule: transfer RNA, 72 nt
Filed under: Dehalococcoidia bacterium
Lineage: Bacteria; Bacillati; Chloroflexota; Dehalococcoidia
Description: tRNA-Ser
Source: RNAcentral
GGGCGUGAGGUUGGGUCUUCCUGGCCUCAUAACCCGGGAGUUGUGGGUUCGAAUCCCACCGGGGCCCCUCCA